RNAcentral lists this non-coding RNA (28 nucleotides) under Rattus norvegicus (Norway rat). The record is from RNAcentral. Lineage: Eukaryota; Metazoa; Chordata; Mammalia; Rodentia; Muridae.
UCCCACAUGUAAUGAAAUGCUCUACUUU